Molecule: ribosomal RNA, 506 nt
Filed under: uncultured bacterium
Lineage: Bacteria
Description: bacterial SSU rRNA
Rfam family: Bacterial small subunit ribosomal RNA
Source: RNAcentral
CUACGUGCCAGCAGCCGCGGUAAUACGGAAGGUCCUAGCGUUAUCCGGAUUUAUUGGGUUUAAAGGGAGCGUAGGCCGUUUUAUAAGCGUGUUGUGAAAUGUACGGGCUCAACCUGUGAUUUGCAGCGCGAACUGUAUGACUUGAGUACGUUGGAAGUAGGCGGAAUUCGUGGUGUAGCGGUGAAAUGCUUAGAUAUCACGAAGAACUCCGAUUGCGAAGGCAGCCUACUGUGUCGUAACUGACGCUGAAGCUCGAAAGUGCGGGUAUCGAACAGGAUUAGAUACCCUGGUAGUCCGCACGGUAAACGAUGGAUGCUCGCUGUCCGGUCUUUUGGCUGGGUGGCCCAGCGAAAGCGUUAAGCAUCCCACCUGGGGAGUACGCCGGCAACGGUGAAACUCAAAGGAAUUGACGGGGGCCCGCACAGGCGGAGGAACAUGUGGUUUAAUUCGAUGAUACGCGAGGAACCUUACCCGGGCUUGAAUUGCAGAGGAAGGAUUUAGAGAUA